UUGGUGCAGGCUGGCUGCUCCUUCAGACAUUGGAGGGACCUUGAGUUGCUGACUACUGCAGAGUUAGCAGUCUGGCUCUGCCGCAGGAGUUCUUGGCAUGAAGCCAACACGCAUCAGAAUUAGCUCAUUGUUAAGAAUAUACAGCAUACAGUCUAUUAGAAUCCCAGCCUUGGAAAGGAAUGCACUUUCCAAGGCUGGGCUCCUUUUCUAGGAGAGCAGUGAUUUUUUAAAUGACUUCUACUUGUUCCUUUUUACACCAACCGUAUUGUAUUGCACGUGUAGAGAGGCAAGCAAUUGGAAGGGAGCAGAGCCUUUUUGUCUGCAAGUUGUGCUGCUUUCGGUGGCUGGAGGGACUGCAGUUCCAGCACCGCUGCAGAAAAAUCAAAUAAUGGAUGAUUUCAAGCUCCCCUCCCAAGCAGGGAAAGAAGGGGAGCAAAAAGACAAAAAGCUUCAUUCCUGUCUCCUGGUGAAGGCCAUCUACCAGAAAACAAAAAUGAUGACCUCUGAAUUAUUCCUGAAUCAUGUAUCUUCCAUUUGUAUUGAUUUGGUCUGUGGGUGUAGAUGAGUUAGUAAAAAAUAUGGAUUUUUUUUGUUUGUUUUUUUUUAAAUUGUAAGUUAGGCAUAUUUGGGACUCUGAGCCUUUGUGAUGUCUAUUUUGCAAUGGUCAGGUGAAACAAAAAGCAAAUCAAAACCUUUGAGACAAACUUGAGCUACAAUAUCCACAUUGUGAGUCCAUGUUUACAAACACUACAGGUGGGCUGAGAGGCCUUUUUAUGCUGGAGCAGCAUGUCUUCCAUUUCUACACCACAAACACCCGUACAGUUUAACUAUUUCACUGAGGCAGAGAGUCCCCUGUUUUCAUUUAGACAUUAAUAAGCUCAUUAGUUUAGUAGUUCUCAUUAAUUUGCCUAUAUAACUCCAUAUGUUAACCACGUACAUGUUGAUGUUUAAAAGUAGUUGUAGAAAUGCAUUGUUUCCUUGUGGUAAGUGAUUGAGGUGCUGCCAUGGGAAUGCGACACUGAUGAAUGGUGCUAUUUUGGACUUUCACUAUGCUCCUUGGUAAGGUAGCUCUGAUUGUUUAUUUUAUUUUAAAUUUUUAAAAUGUUAUUUCCAUGUUUUAAGAAGGUGUUAGUGCUUUGUUGCUUGGUUGUUGUUCCUUGAUCUGGAUUGACUAGUUCUUCCUGUCUGUGUGACUUUCUUAUUGAGUACAGACAAAGAUUUUAAAAAUAAGAAACAAGUCAGACGGAAGACUGGCCUAUGAUUUACUGGGAGGGAGCAACUAUAAAACUGCAUUGUUAACUAAGUUCCCCCAUUUUUUAAAUCUCUUAAGAGUUGAGACGUCAUUAUUAGAUGCUCUCCUUUAAAUCCAAGCACUCCUCACUGGGUUUUUUUGUCUUUAAUGUAAUGAAAGAUCAUGUAUAACACAAAAAUAUGAAUGUCCAACCACACCAAAUGUGGCACUUUUUUACAAGAUACCAUGCAGUGCUAAGUUAGUGAAAUAAAGAAUUUAAUAAAAUGUUUUUAAAAACCCUGAUCUCACUUAAGACAAUGUCAUAAAAAACAGCUUGAAGAAAUUGUAUUUUUUACACACUUGUUGUCCUUAAAGUUAUACUAAUGAAACAAAUAUAAUAGAUUUAUUGAUAUUUUUGGUGUUUUUAAAACUUUUUGGAAAUAAGGAGUUAAGGGCAUAUUUCAUUUGUGCUGGGCUUCCACGGGUGACAACAUGGUCAAUUUAGCAUUUUCUGUUUUGUUUUGAAAAUACAGAAACCCGCUUAAGAUGGCUGUGUCUUUCCUCUCCCCACACUUAAGUGACACCAGCCAUAGUUACCUACCAGUUUAGAAAUAUUUCAGUUCAAAGCACAUACUGUAUUGUACAGUAUGCAGCUUAAAAUGUGACAGUUUUAAGUAUAAAUAGUUAAUGCUAACCAGUUGUAACGUCUGUUGGGUGACCAUAUUGCUCCAAGUUUACCAGGACAGUUUUUUUUUUUUUUGACUGACAUUCCAAAGCAGUCAGUACUUUUUACCUACAGGACCAGAAUGCAUUGGGAUAUCCCAAACUGUUCCUGUGAACUUGGAGUCGCUUAGUAACACAAAGCCUGUUAUCAUUGUCAACAUUAUCAGUGAUCCCUUUAUUUCUUUACUGAAGAUAUUUUUGUUCUUUGCUGAAUUUUAACCUGUGCUUCCUGCUACCUUGUGUUGAAGGUCAGCUCAAUGGUCCCAGUCUCACCCUUGUAAAAGAGGCUGUGAAGCUAACACAGGACAAACAAACAAACACAGGACAAACAAACAAAAAAAUAAAUGAAUAAAAAUAACCUUUAGCUUAAAAAGGUGGGUCAGCCAUAAUGUUAAUAAUUCUAAUUCAUGGUAAGAAACUAGAAUUUCAAAGCCUUGGAUGCCAGUCAUUAAUUUUGGCCAGUUUAUUUUGGGAACUCACAGACAUACAAUAAAGAAUUUGUAAAUGUUUAGUCAUACUUAUUUGCAGUUUUGUAUUUGCUUGCUUUUAGUUCAUUCCAUCUACAAUGCUAAUGUGGUUACAGUCUGAAAGCCCUUAUACCUUUUUACUUCUGCUGUUCUAGGUUAUUCCUUUACAGUGCAGGCCUUGAGAUGUAUUCUAACCUGGCUAAGCUUCUGAAUUUCAAUCUGGUGCAUGGACUUUUCUUUUUUCUUAGUAAUUAUUAUUAUUUUUUUAAAAUAUUCUGUUUUUUGUGUUUUUAUGUGCAGUUGUCUUUUUAUGUUAGACUAGGAAUUCCAGCUGUGUUGUAUAUAGCCAGUGACAGUAUUAGGCAGUUCUGGCAUUUGUAUGCUGAGGUAUAUCUGGAACUGUGCGGUUGAUAAUGACAGCUUUUGUAAUAAUGUGAUCUUCAAUAAUGCAUUACAAGUAUCCUGUGUAUUUUUGGCUUUUUUAGUAGUACUUAAAUAAAUAUGCAAGCUGUUAAAAAA
Molecule: long non-coding RNA, 2940 nt
Organism: Acipenser ruthenus (sterlet)
Lineage: Eukaryota; Metazoa; Chordata; Actinopteri; Acipenseriformes; Acipenseridae
Exons: 3
Source: RefSeq, a predicted model, not a curated record